UGUAAAUUAAGCAUCAUAAGACAUCACAAUAGAAGCCCCCUAUUUGCAUAUGAAGUCACCACACCAGGGCAUAAACCCUAGAGUCAUCCUGACUCCAGGGACAUACAAUGGAUUUGAGGAGAUGUAAGGAGAAGGUAAAAGGACACUUUAUCCUGCACCUGGGGAUGUAAUCAGGCAGUGUGAUUACAUUCAUGAAAAUGGGAUCCCAACCAACCUUGGUUGGAAAUACUGCAGGAAGGCUUUGGAUUCUUUCCAGAAAUAGACAAUCACUGAAUAAGGAAGGGAAGAUUCAAAGCACAUUCCCCAUUGACUGAAUCCAACCAAGAAGCCAUAUACAAGACUUGCUUUUGGCAAGUUGAAGCUUUUAGAAAUUUAAAGGAACCAUUUUUAACUUAGUGCAAAUGUUAAUACUUCAAUAAUGCCUUAAUAUCAAAGUGAAAUAAUAAUAUUGCAUGCAACAUCAACCAAGGUUCUUAACAGCAGAGCGCCUGAUAAUGGAAACCAUUAAUCUGUUGUUCUGGAUGCAACAUCGUUAUUCUUAAAUACCUUACAAAUUAGUGGGUUCAGUAAUUUAGAAAAUGUAUCUUUUGAAGUGUGAAAUACUCUAUACUAAAACAGUUUGCUCAUUUAAAAUGUUGUAGUUUUUUUAAUCUUAUUAGAUGAGUCAAUGUUUUUAGUAAAAGUCAAUGUUAAUCAAAUAUGGAGUAUUAUAACCAGAAAAUCUUCACAGCUCCCAUUUUAUGUUAGAUAAAACCAAAGGUUUAUGAUUUUAAACCCCUGCAGCAACUGUAAUGAGAUAGAGUAUAUAAUAGUCAAACUGGCUUAAGGUAAUUGCUUUGGGAUAUACAAACACUGAAACCCAUUUCAUGUGGCUUGCGACUGUCAUGUAAAGCUGUAGCAUCACAUUCUCCCCCCAAGAGUAAAGAAGUGCAAAAAUAAAUAAGAUCUGCAAAAAA
This is a long non-coding RNA of Mauremys reevesii (Reeves's turtle), 956 nucleotides long. RefSeq lists it as uncharacterized. NCBI's taxonomy places the organism in Eukaryota, Metazoa, Chordata, Testudines, Geoemydidae. The record is from RefSeq and is a predicted model, not a curated record. The transcript is spliced from 2 exons.